AUUUAUGUAGUUUAUAUUAAAACAUUACACUUUCACUGUAAAAAUAAAAUUUAUUAUUUUCAUAAAUA
This 68-nucleotide transfer RNA is filed under the name Paratemnopteryx couloniana. Its description in RNAcentral is "tRNA-Glu". It matches the Rfam family "tRNA". From Rfam's summary of the family: Transfer RNA (tRNA) molecules are approximately 80 nucleotides in length. Their secondary structure includes four short double-helical elements and three loops (D, anti-codon, and T loops). Further hydrogen bonds mediate the characteristic L-shaped molecular structure. tRNAs have two regions of fundamental functional importance: the anti-codon, which is responsible for specific mRNA codon recognition, and the 3' end, to which the tRNAs corresponding amino acid is attached (by aminoacyl-tRNA synthetases). tRNAs cope with the degeneracy of the genetic code in two manners: having more than one tRNA (with a specific anti-codon) for a particular amino acid; and 'wobble' base-pairing, i.e. permitting non-standard base-pairing at the 3rd anti-codon position. Lineage: Eukaryota; Metazoa; Arthropoda; Insecta; Blattodea; Blattellidae. The record is from RNAcentral.